GACAGAGGGUGCAAACGUUGGUCGGAAUUACUGGGCGUAACGCGUGUGUAGGCGGUCUGCUAAGUCGGGUGUGAAAGCCCUGGGCUCAACCCAGGAAGUGCACUCGAAACUGGCAGGCUAGAGUACUGGAGAGGUUGGUGGAAUUCUCGGUGUAGAGGUGAAAUUCGUAGAUAUCGAGAGGAACACCGGUGGCGAAGGCGGCGAUCUGGACGAUGACUGACGCUGAGACGCGAAAGCGUGGGGAGCAAACAGG
This 253-nucleotide ribosomal RNA is filed under the name uncultured bacterium. RNAcentral describes it as "partial 16S ribosomal RNA". It matches the Rfam family "Bacterial small subunit ribosomal RNA", at positions 524 to 776 of the family's 1533-position model. The record is from RNAcentral.